RNAcentral lists this microRNA precursor (65 nucleotides) under Macaca mulatta (Rhesus monkey). Its description in RNAcentral is "Mml-Mir-430-P30_pre stem-loop". Lineage: Eukaryota; Metazoa; Chordata; Mammalia; Primates; Cercopithecidae. The record is from RNAcentral.
CCUCCAAAGGGAAGCACUUUCUGUUUGUUGUCUGAGAGAAAACAAAGUGCUUCCUUUUAGAGUGU